GUCUUUUUGAGUUAUUUUUAAAGUCUGACCUGCCCACUGAAUAUUUUUAAAUGGCCGCAGUAUUCUAACUGUGCAAAGGUAGCAUAAUCAUUAGUCUUUUAAUUGAAGGCUGGUAUGAACGGUUGGACGAAGUAUAAGCUGUUUCAUAUAAAAUUAUAUUAGAAUUUUAUAUUUUAGUUAAAAAGCUAAAAUAUUAUUAAAAGACGAGAAGACCCUAUAAAUCUUUAUAUUUAAUAUUAUUCAAAUUUUUUUGAUUAAUUUUAUUUUUAUAAUAUUAAAUAUUUUGUUGGGGUGAUAUUAAAAUUUAACAAACUUUUAAUUUUGAAUUAGAACAUUAAUUUAUGAAUAGUUGAUCCAUUAUUAAUGAUUAUAAGAUUAAGUUACUUUAGGGAUAACAGCGUAAUUUUUUUUGAGAGUUCAUAUCGACAAAAAAGUUUGCGACCUCGAUGUUGGAUUAAGAUAUAUAUUUAGGUGUAGCCGUUUAAAUAUUAA
This 492-nucleotide ribosomal RNA is filed under the name Ceratitis rosa (Natal fruit fly). RNAcentral describes it as "partial 16S ribosomal RNA". The record is from RNAcentral. Lineage: Eukaryota; Metazoa; Arthropoda; Insecta; Diptera; Tephritidae.